UACGAAGGGGGCUAGCGUUGCUCGGAAUCACUGGGCGUAAAGCGCCCGUAGGCGGACUCUUAAGUCGGUGGUGAAAUCCUGGAGCUCAACUCCAGAACUGCCUUCGAUACUGAGAGUCUUGAGUCCGGGAGAGGUGAGUGGAACUGCGAGUGUAGAGGUGAAAUUCGUAGAUAUUCGCAAGAACACCAGUGGCGAAGGCGGCUCACUGGCCCGGUACUGACGCUGAGGUGCGAAAGCGUGGGGAGCGAACAGG
RNAcentral lists this ribosomal RNA (253 nucleotides) under uncultured bacterium. RNAcentral describes it as "partial 16S ribosomal RNA". It matches the Rfam family "Bacterial small subunit ribosomal RNA", at positions 524 to 776 of the family's 1533-position model. The record is from RNAcentral.